UACGUAGGGUGCAAGCGUUGUCCGGAAUUAUUGGGCGUAAAGAGCUCGUAGGCGGUUUGUCGGCGUCUGCUGUGAAAACUCGGGGCUUAACCCCGGGCCUGCAGUGGGUGACGGGCAGACUAGAGUGCGGUAGGGGAGACUGGAAUUCCUGGUGUAGCGGUGAAAUGCGCAGAUAUCAGGAGGAACACCGGUGGCGAAGGCGGGUCGCUGGGCCGUAACUGGACGGCUGGAGGAGCGAAAGCGUGGGGAGCGAAACAGG
This 259-nucleotide ribosomal RNA is filed under the name uncultured bacterium. RNAcentral describes it as "partial 16S ribosomal RNA". It matches the Rfam family "Bacterial small subunit ribosomal RNA", at positions 524 to 776 of the family's 1533-position model. The record is from RNAcentral.